UUUUAUACUAUUGUGGUAAAAAAAAUACACUUGAUAUUAUUUUAAUGUUGAAUUUGUUAGGACUUCUUUUGUUGCCUAACAUAUGAUCUAUCCUCCAGAAUAUGUGCUUGAGAAGAAUGUAUAUUCUGCUGAGGCACAAAGCACAGAUAUACAUGGAAGGACUAUGGCUCUGGUAUCUGGUGCAGUAAUGUACCUGAUAUCUGGGGUGCUGGCACCCCUGAUGUUGUGUUAUGGCAAUAUGUGAGGUGAAAAUGCUCGUAAAGUAGCUAGAGGGCCAAGAAUGGGAGCACAGAUGCACACAAAGUUAGAGAGACUCUGUCGUUAGGGGAAGGUCUAGUUCUCUGUGGCAUCUGAGCUGGCACCUUGAGUUGGGUCAUGCAUAGUGAGGACUUGGUUCUCGAGCCUGGAGUGUGGACUAGCUCAUUAUGUCAAUGGCUGUGGUGUCUGAGUCAUCAGUGGGCCCAGUGUAGCCACAGAGCCUGGGUCUGGAGUGUGAUCACUCGCAAAGAGGUUAUGGCUCUACAUUAAGGAAUGCUCAGGGUUGGAAGAGGUGGUGGCUCCUUUCCUGAAGCAGCUCAACGGGGUGGCUACUUCUUGUGGAGAAGGAGAGGUAUGCAGCUGUGUCUCCCUCUCUGGAUUUCCCUAGUAGGAGUGGCUGCGGGUUACCUCAGUGGCAAGGGAUACUGGUGUCCUCUGUGGAGCACUCCUCUGGGUACCAUGACGGUUCCCUGUGCAUGACUGACAUGCCACCUUUCUUCUUUGCUCAUAGCUGUCUCCUGGUGUCUCAGGUAUGCUGUUCUCACCAGAAAUCCUUUCUCUGUGGGUAGUCUCCUUUUUUUUCUCCAUUGUGCUGCUGCAGAAUUUUUAUUGGACCAUUGAGCCCUUUCUGGUCUAUUUUGGUUUGUGAAUAGAUGUUUGUAUUUGUUUUUGUUGGGGGAUGAAGGCUGAUACCUCCUACUCCACCAUCUUGGUCAGUUUUUUUUUUUUUUUAAUUUUUGAGACUUUUCUUUAAAGUUCCUCCUAAAGUAAAAUAUGAUAUUCUUUUGUUGCAUGAUUUUAUCUACAGAUGCCUACUUCAUGGAAAAGAAGGAAAAAAUAAUUAUGAGAACAAAUACAUGUUCACAUCUCAUCAGUGGGACCUGCCAUAUAUGCCUACUUGUUAUGUGUAUCUUCUUUCAGACUUGCUCAAACAGACACACUGUGUUCUGCGGUGGACAGGUCUAUGCAAACCUACCCCCAAAGUCCAAGGAAGCUGAGAGGCCAAAGAAAGAGGCUGAUAAAUCCAGUUUCUUAGAAAGAAACAUUUAAUAGGGACUAACAAACAGAAGCUAUUGGAAAAUCCAAAUCCAGGGCUUACUUACCAUAAGGAAAGGGUAUACAUGAUUCAGAAGAAAUCUGUAGGAAAAUUGAAGUACAAUAACAUCAAGAUUGUUUUGACCUAAGGGCAAGAAUUAUGGUAAGUAUGUGCUCUUACACAAGGAACAACAGAUAAACUGGAAAUUUUUUGAGGCUUUCCUGGAACUGAGGUUAAUCAGAAGUAAAUAUGGCAGAUUAGCAUCCAAGAUAGAGUAACUUUAGCCUCCACAUACUUAUUUUCUCAGUUUAUAUGCUGUAGGGAGCACUAACAGAACCUUCAGAUACUAUUUGCUGUCACUUUUUAAAUCUAAGGUGUCCAAAGUCUUAGAGUUUCCCAGGUGCCAUCUAGCCCCAAGUAAUGAACAUGAAACAGCUUUCCAUUUGUCCAUACUUAAUUUUCCAUGUUUCAUUUACAUUAUUACUCAUUACAUUGUUAUACUUGUACAUCUGGAACCUAAUCUGGAAAAUCUUGGUGCGAAAAGGAAGUGAUUUCUGGAAUUUAGUUUUCAUGUGUCCACACUACUACAAAAAUCCCUUGGUUGGUUUAGAGAUGCAUCCCAUUUAGAACCUGACCUGAUUUUGUGUUAUAAGUGCUGGGCAUGUGUAUCUUUUCCAUUCCUUUUAUUAUUUUUAAUUGCACAAGGAAGGUACUUUAAGAGUGUUUUAAUGUGCACAUAUUGAUUGUUCCUGGGCCCUGGGCUGAGUGAGACUCUGACUCAACUUAUACCCCGAACCCACUGUGUCAGGAUUCUUCCCCUCCAGAGACUGUGGUGCUGAGCCCUGGGUGGUUUCAUGCAGUCUCUCCCCCUUUCCAUCCCUUGUGGAAGUCACUGCUCGGCUAACUAGGUAGCUAAACAGAGGAGCCUACUUUCAAUUUAAGGGGAUGCAUUUGGGAGAAUACAGAGAGAGACAUUGUGCUCAUGCAUUUUGCAUUGCUAUAAAGGAAUAAUACCUAAGGUGAGGUAAUUCAUAAUGAAAAGAGGUUUAUUUGGCUCAGAGUUCUGCAGACUGUACAAGAAACAUGGUGCCAGCAUCUGUUUCUGGAAGCUUUUACUCAUGGUAGAAGGCAAGGGGAGGUGGCAUGUCACACGGCAAGAGAGGAAACAAUAGAGAAAAGAGGAGGUGCCAGGCUCUUUUUAACAAUCAGAUCUUAUGGUAACGAAUGGAGCCAAAACUUACUCAUUACCACAAGGAUAGCACCAAGCCAUUCAUGAGGGAUCUGCCCGCAUGACCUAAACACCUCCCGCCAGGCCCCACCCUCAACAUUGGAGAUCACAUUUCAACUUGAGAUUUGGAGGAGACAGAUAUUCAAACUGUAUCACGCGUGUUAUGAAACUACUUUCAUUUCAUUUCAUUUUCAUUUCAUGACCUUCACUGAAAUCCUAGGAAGAAGAGACAUUGCCUGACAGCAGAAUGUAAGGUUCAUUUGAGAGGCAUGCUUGUCCUUUCCCUGGGCAUCUGUAAUUUCGCUGAAGCCACUCAGUUGGAGCUGUAAUUUCCCUGAUGCUGCUCAGCUUUUCCUGAAGCUAUCAUGUGGAUAGAUUAAUAUAUUAGUUUUGUGACAACCAUAUUACCUAGUUCCUUUGGCUCAGGGAUGUUCCCCAUUCUGAUGCUAAGCCAUUUUCCUGUGGGAAGGACUGGAGAUUUUGUUUUUUUUUGGAUUAUUUUUCUCACUUCCAAACCCAACAUGCUUUUGUUGGAAAAUGCACAAAAGGAAAAAUAUCAUUAGAAACCCUAAAAAUUCUAUUAUUCAUGAAUAAGAACUGUUAACUUUUGAAUAUUGCUAUGGUUUGAAUGUCCCUUCCAAAACUCAUAUUAAAAUUUUAUUGACAUUAUAACAGUGUUGAGAGGUGGGGCCUUUAAGAGGUGAUUAGGUUAUGAUAGCUCUGCCCUCAUGAAUGAUUUAAUGCCAUUAUUGUGAUAGUAAGCUUCUAAUAAAAGAAUGACUUCAGCCCGAUUUUUUCUGUCUUCUGCACUCACUUCUGCUUCCCACACUUCCGUCAUGGGAUGACCCUUGGCCAGAUGCCAGCACUAUGCUGUUGGACUUGCCAGCCUUCAGAACAGCGAGAAAUAAAUUUCUUUUCUUUAUAAAUUAUCCAGUCUCUGGUAUUCUGUUAUAGCAUCAGAAAAUGGACUAAGAGAAAUAAACAUUUUUCCAGAAGUUUUACUAUGCAAAUGUAACUAUACUUAAAACAAAAAUCAGAUAAUAUCCUACUUAUAGCUUUAUAAACUGCCUUUUUAUGAAAAACAUCAUAUUUCGAAGGUCAAUCUAUAUCAAUCAAUAUAAAUCCACAUAAUAACAAAAAUGGCCAUAGAAGCAGUAAUGGUCUAUUCAGGUAUAAUAAUAAUAAUAAUAGCUAAUGUUUAUUGUGAUUUCCUCAAUGCCUGAUACUGUUGCAAGUGCUAAACAUAUACUUAAUCAUUUAAUCCUCACCAUAUUAUAUGAUGAGGCACUGUUGUUGUCUGACUUUAAACAUAAGGGAACUGAGGCAUAGUGAGGAUAGGGCUAGCAAGUGCUGAGACUUCAAUUUGAACACAGGCUGUGUGGCUCCCAAGCCCUUACAUCUAAUCAGUAUAUGCCACUGCCUCUCAUAUGAGAACACCAACCGUAUUAUUUAUCAGAAUAAAGCAAAAUAUAUGAAAUUAAGAUACUACAUUUUUCCCCAUUUGACUAAGCAGAGAUUUAAAAUAUUGAAAAAAAUGAAUGUGAUUUGGGAUUUGGGGAAAUGUGUCCUGGAAUACUGUGGAAGGGGCUGACCAGCAUCUUGUCUCCCUUCCUGUUUCUCAAAGACGUUCCUAUUCUGAAGCGAGGGGCUUUGCUGUAGGUGGAGCAGAGAAUGGUUAUGUUUCCCAGUGAUUUUAUUCUUUUGCAUAUUUAUAAGACCAAUAGGUGUUUAUUACAGUUAAAAAAGUGAAAACAUAGGACAUAAAAUAAAAUAACCAUUCCUCAAACAUAACACCUAAAAAUAAGACCUGCUAAUGUUUUCAUCCGCAUUAUUUUCUUAGAAGUUUUCUCAUGUAGGAAUUUAUACACUUAUGCAUGUAUGGACGCAUUUAUAUAUUUAUAUGAAAAAGACAAGAUCUCAUUUUAGUUUUUUAACCUGCCUAUGUCAAUAUAGUGGGUUGGAUAAUAUCCUCCAAUAAUAUAUGUCCAAGCCUUAGCCCUUAGUACCUGUGAAUGUAAUAUUAUUUGGAAAUAGAGUCAUUGCAAAUAUAAUUUAGGAUCUCAAGAUGAGAUGAUUCUGGAUUUAGUGUGGGCCCUAAAUCUAAUGACUGGUGUCCUUGUAACAGAGAGGAUGGGGAGAUUUGACAUACACAGGAAAGAAGGUCAUGUGAAGAAGGAGGCAGAGAUUGGAGUUAUGCUGCCAUAAGCCAGGGAAAGCUAUGAGUCACCAGAAGCUGGAAGAGGCAAGAAAAAAAUUGUCUUCCCAAGCCUUCAUGGGGAGUGUGACCCUGUCAAAACCUUGAUAUCAGGCUUCUGGUCUCCAAAACUGUAAGAAAAUAAAUUUCUGCUGUUUAAAGACACAAAUUUUGUGGUAAUUUGUUGUGGUAACCCUAGGAAACUAGUAUACUCACUAACAACAUAUCUAAAAUGUCAUUAAUUGUAAAUAAACACCAGUCUAUGUCUUAUAUUGAUGUGGCUGUAAGGAUAGUAAUAUCAGUGACACAUUAAAGAAAUUUUAAAUUGACUAAAAUUUCUUGUAACAAGUGAUUUUUAUAUGUAUUGAGUCAUUCACUGCUCAUAGCUCCCUUACGAGAUAGAUAUUGUGGCUAAUCUCUGUUUUAUAGAUGAAAAACUGAGGGACAGAGAGAGUGACUUUGCCCAAGACUACACAGUUAGGGAGUGGGUCAGCUUGGAUUUGUGCCCAGUACAUGUUGCUCCAGAGCCUGGAAGCUGUCACAAAUUUGUUAAGUGAAAGCAGUCUGCACAAGUGAGCGUAUUUUAGGAGGUCAUUAAAAGUAAUACUAAGUGUUUUAAUACAGUUACACAUUUACGCAAACAUUGGACCUAGUGACAAAAGGUGGUUUGUGAUCUUGGAGAGCCUGUUCAUUGCAAUCAAGGGACAGAAGCCAUAGUAGGGGGAUAAGGAGUCAACAAAGUGAACAAUGUUAACAGAGACUGUAGAGAACUGUUUUUGGUACUUUGAAUUUGAAGGAGGUAGGAAGAGACAGAGAGAGAAUGAAUUAAAUAUCCUAUUGCUGAAUGAGUAAUAAGGGGUUAAGGAGGGAUAUUUUAGAAUCAAUUCCUUUAAACUUAAGUACAUUCAAAAGUUAAUGUAAAGGAGCUCUCUAAUCUCAGAUGUAACCUUGAAGUUGUCCAUAUAUUUAUUUCCCUACUACCAUCUCAUUUCUAUUAUGGAGUUAAUGAGACACCUCCAUUGGAAUACUAUGGGCUUUGAGUGAAAUACAGAUUUAGUUAUUAGUGAUUAAAAGUGGGAAAACUGUGUGAAAGAAGUGCUCAUAACUCUUGGACUUUUACCUCUCAGGGAGGCAGCAGGUGGCUGAAAUUCUGGCGUGCUGUGACUGGAUAAUGCAUGAUCUGAGGACCCCUAUACUGAUGACUGUGGAUGGGGCCACAUUUUUUUCUACAAAUAUAUUCAUAUACUGAGCAGUCAGGAGCAGCCCUUAGGCAAAUACCACACCUUGCUUCUCUGGUGUGAUUGAUAUCUGAGCUCACCAGGUGAGUUCAAAAACAUGCCCAUGUUCCCAGCAUUGGGAACUGGGUCUGCUGAAAGGCCUGAUGUUGGCCAGCUUUUAUGAGAUUAUGAAGCACCCAAGAAUGUAGAGAACGUUCUGUUUCUAAAACUUUGAACUCAAGGCAUAUCAGAGAGAGAUUUGCCUUCGUUAUAUGGAUGUCUGUGUUCUCAUUAGGAGAGAAACAAUGAAAAAUAACUUUUCACAAUGCCUGCCUUAGCCUUGAGGCUCAACCAGCCCCCAUUUCUGUGUCUCAGCAUUUAAAGGGCUAUUGAAGUCCCACUCCAUGCUAUAUAUUCUCCACAGGUUUUCUCAUUAACUCCUCAGGACAGCUCUGUAAGGAUGGUAUGGUCAGUCCCAUUUCACAGAUAAUCAGGCUCAGACUCACAGAGUCUAAAUCACCUAAAGUGGCAGGAUUGGAAUGAGGUUCCAUCUCUCACCCUCCCUAGAGGACCCUGAGCAGCCUCCCUUUUAGAAGAUGGGCUUCCGGGACUUGAGAAAUGGUCAGAAUCCAUUGCCCUGCUAUUCUGGACCCAUGCAUCCUCACUCCACAGCCCCUCUGGGUGAUGAAGAAGACAGAGAGAUGAUAUCCUGCCCCUUGUGCCGAGAGACCUGGUUGUUGGGCUGCAAGAAUUGGCUGAUUCCUGAAGUGGUGAGUGGGCUCAGUCAGAAGCUCAGGUGUUGGCUUUGGGACAGGUGAGCUGGACAGAAGGAAAGUAACAUGCCCUGAACUACUGAAAGCAAAUGCACUCUAUAUUUCAUCUCCUUUAAUCUUUUUGUUUUUGUCUGUUUCGGUAGAGACAGUGUCUCGCUAUGUUGCCGAGGCUUGCCUUGAAUUCCUGACCUCAAGUGAUCCUCCCACGUCAGCCUUCCAAAGUGCUGGGAUUACAGUCAUGUACCACCUCACCUGGCCUCCUUUAAUCUUAAUUGCUAUCCAAGGUCUCUGAAUGCUCUAAUCUCCCUCCUGGCUGACAGUACGGGCUCCUCAGGUAUUUUCCAAAGUUUUUUCUUUUUAAAUUAUGACAUGUAUAAUUUUUAAGUCUCAUUAUGGAAAUUUAAAAUGCUUUCCAAAUGAAAAAUAAAAACCCAGUAACAAUUGUAUUAAAACGAGGAAGGAAACACUUUUAAAACUACAUCUCAGAUAUUGGGUUGGUGUCUGUGAUUUGUGAAACAUAGUUGUUAACAAACUGGCAACAAUUUCAACAGAUAAUUCAAAUAAGUAUAUACGUGAACAAUAAAUAUUAAAAAACAGAGAAACCACAAGAACUAAUGAGAUGCAAAUAUUUUAAAAUCCUGAGAAUUUAUAAUAAGUGGAAACAACAAGAUACAAAAGAUGAGGACUGUGAUUGCACAUUUGGAACAGACAAUGUGUGUGUGUGUUGGGGGGAGGGGUGAACGUGUUCAUGUGCACCUCACAGGGACACAUCUAGAGAGUAUGCAGAAUCCUGGGGACAGCAGACCCCUUGGAAUCAAGGGGUGGGAGUUGGACCAGUGAGAGUGCAGAUUAAUUUCAAUUUAUGAAUGUAUUCAUAUAUUGUUUGAAAUUCAGUAUUUGGGAAUAAAAUAUUUUGAUAAAGAUUUGAACACACAAGAAAUUUUUGAACUGAUUGUCAAAGGUAAUAUGCACAUAUUUUCAUUAAUUUGAAAAAGAAUUCAUUGUGUUAUAUGGUGAAAGAAAUAAAACAUCUAAUUGACUGUGUGUGUGUGUCCUCUAGCUCUAUCACCCCAUAUACACACUCACAGAUGUAGCAUUAUCUUUCAUUCGGGUGGGCACUGUAACCAAUCUGAGUUUUAUAUAUCCUAAAACGUGAUGAAUACAAGGAGACUGCUAUCAUUAGGUCAAUAAUUCAAAAAAACCUCUGGUUGAUAUAGUGAAGCUAACUUCCAACCUCAAUCCCUUUCUCUCCCCUGCUGAGCCUCUGGUCUGACUCUCAAUGCUGCGAUCCUGUCUUUGGCUACCAGGAGGCAUCACAGCUAUCUCCAUGUCUUUUGUUCUUUUAUUUUAGAAAAGGAGUACAUUUUGCUAAGAGUAACAAAUGUUAUGAAGUGAUUUGUUUACUAUGACACCAGUUCUAUUUGGAAAAUUCACAUAUUAAAGCAGGUCCAUUUGCUGUUGAUUCCAAAUCUACAUCAUGUUCAUUCAUUUAUCUCUUCUCUCCACGAUAUAGGUUGAGGUGUCCAUAAGGUGGAUAGGUUCCUCCCAGAGAGCAGGGCAUUCACUCUUCAUUACUGCACCCCUGUACAGGCUUCCCAGGCCUUCUCCCAACCCCUCUCAGUCAUCCUCUCUCCUGGACACUAUGAACACAGCUGCCCAGGUCCUAUAUCAGUGACCCAUCCACUCUCAGCCACCUCCUGCCUGCCCUGCACUGACCAAUGACGACUGGUGACUGCCAAGAUGCACUAGAGCUACCUGGUGUUUCAUGGCAUGGAUUUCCUAGAGGAUAUGUUUUUACAGUCUUCUUUUUUACCCCUAUCAUUUUUUUUUUCUUCCCAGUAUGGGGAAGUGGAUUUGGGUCUGCUCAGAGGCAUGACGUUGAACAGCUUUUAUGAGAUUAGAAAACACCCAAGAAUGUAGAGAACAUUCUGUCUCUAAAACUUUGAACUCGAGGCAUAUCAGAGAGAGAUUUGCUUUCCUUAUAUGGAUGUCUGUGUUCUCAUUAGGAGAGAAACAAUGAAAAAUGACUUUUCACAAUGCCUGCCUUAGCCCUGAGGCUCAGCCAGCCCCCACUUCUGUGUCUCAGCAUUUAAAGGGCCAUUGAAGUCCCACUCCAUGCUAUAUAUUCUCCAUAAGUUUUCUCAUUAACCCCUCAGGACAGCUCUGUAAGGAUGGUAUGGUCAGCCCCAUUUCACAGAGGCUCACAGAGUCUAAGUCACCUCCCCAGAGACAAGGUCCUGCUAUGUUGCCCAGGCUUGUCUUGAAUUCCUGGCCUCAAGAGAUCCUCCCUCCAUGGCAUCCCAAAGCACUGGGAUUACAGGCAUGAACCACCUCACCUGGCCUCCGUUAAUCUUAACUGCUAUCUGAGAGGGGCUUAAUGGAAACCUCAUACUAUGUCUGCUGGACAGGACACCGGAGCAAGGAUACUGGAGAGCUCUCUGCAUCCUGGCACAAAAUCCAAACCAGUAACUCUGGGACGUUCUUGACUCAGGGUUAAUCUCAGAAACCUGGUAAUCCAUAUGACCCCACAGCUAUGCCUCAUGGCCCAAAGGGUCAGAUUUCAUCUCCACAGUCGUCUUCCUCAACGUGAAGGGCUGUUGAUCCUACUCAUGGAGGACUCUGUGUUGAACCAAGGUGCUUCAUGCAACAGCCCCAGCUGAGCUCCCAGCAGAUGCCAGCACCAUUCGCCAUCCAUGAUAAGCCUCCGAUGCAAUCACUUGUGUUAAGAAAUUGAGAGAAUGUUGAUAUAAACUGUUCCCUGAGCCAUAUGGAAAGCUGUAUCUUCUGCAGGUUGCUUGUGUGACGUGGGUGAAGGAGUUCUUAUUGAGCCAUGGGAGGAAGAAAUAGUACAGAAGAGCAAAGAAUAAUAAUGAGUCAGCUAGACAGAAGACAGGAGUCAUCAGAUUUGUACCCCAGUUACUUGACCCAUCAAUUGACUGUGUUUUCUGGGGUGAGUCUCUUCCCUCUGCUGGCCUCUGUUCUAACACAGAAGGACAUUCAGUAUAGAAACAGUGAUUAGUGAGAAGGACUGGGAUUUGACCCUGGGAACCAUUACUUGCUGGUUGCAUGAUCUAUAUCAACCAAUUCAUCUACUGUGUGCCCUGUAACCAUUUAUGUCUUUUAUUAUUAUUCCUGUCACACAUACAAAGACUGAAUGAAAAAGUGGGGAUUACUUUGCCAGGUAGUACAAUGUUCUCUGAGCAUAUAAUUUCAUAAGUUUUGGACAGAGUGGUUGACAUGCAGGUUAAAGAAGUUUAAAGAAAGCUCUGGAGUAGACCCAGGCAUAUAACAUCAUUUAAGAUGCUACAAGUAUGGCAUUUCUAAUCAAAUGCAUUGUUAAGGAAUUGGGUCUGGGCCAGCUGUAAAGUGUUCAUUAAAAAGCAAAGUUAGAUUAUAUCUUAUACCUUGUCAUGUACGCAGAAUGUUUCAUCCACAUGUUAGUACUUAAGAUAAAAGCAAAACUGAAAAUAACAACAAAAAACUCAGGAUACUGUACUGUAAUGUAAUUAUAAUAGCUUUAUGAUUGCAUUUGUAAUGCAUGUACAGUACAUGUGCAUAUAUCCAUGUAUAAAAAAAUCAUUAGAAAGAUCUAGUACCAUGUUAAUUUUAAUUAUGAUGGGAUUGCUGGCUCUUGAUAUUUUUAACCUCUGCAUUUGGCUCAAUAUUAAACAUUUGCUAAGGUGAGAGUAUGGAUUGUACAUAUUCCAUACCCCAUGCUUGACUUACUAUGGGAGUUACAUCCUGAUAAACUCAUUGUAAGUUGAAAAAUAAUUGUAGGUCAAAAAUGGGCAUUUGUAGACAAGAUGGGAUGUGAAAACACAAAACAAUAUUAAAAAAUGCUGGCAACACUGUACACUGUAGAGUCUCAGUUGUUUAUCCUCAUGAUUGCAUGGCUGACUGGGAGCUGUAGCUCACUGCUGCUCCCUAACCAGCAUCACAAGAGAGUAUAAUACUGCAUUUUUCUAGCCCAGGAAAAGAUCAAAAUUUAAAACUUGAAGUAUAGUUUCUAUUGAAUGUGUACCACUUUCACACUAUCAUAAAAUUGAAAAAUUAUAAGUCAAAACAUCAACAGGGAAUAUCUGUAUUUAUGAUAAAAACUAUAUCCCCUAAAACAUCUGCUACUUGUGAAAUGUUUCAAAUAGAAAACAGAGAGAACUAUGAAAUCAGUCCAGCUUAGGAAAAACUUUACUCCUCCCUAAUUGUAUCUCCUUCCUUCUCUGCUAUCGAUAAUCAGCAUCCAGAAAGCAAUGAUUAUAAUUCCCAAAUGUGACUUUAUCCUUUUAUUCCAUAUGAAAGCUUCCCUAAACAAAACAUAGUAUUGUUUUGCAUGUUUCACCACAAACACACAUAUACCUGAUCCUUACACUCAAGAUAGCAUUAUGAUGUGUUCAAGGGGAGAUCUUUGUCAAGAUGCUGGCACGGUAUUUGGUGUGUCAUGGACAGUGCCAGUGUUUGCUUCCUUCCCAUCUCAACUCUUCUGAUCUUUAACAGGGAUGUUGUUUCAUAAUCUGGAUAGCAUCACUAUAUUUUAGUGAGUACUUGGGAAUGUGAGGGAACCACACACACUCAUCUAUAUUAUGUAGGAAGUUAGAUGCCAUCUCUGUGCUAUGCAAUGUGAUGAAGUUGGGAUGAGGGAAGAAUACUCACUCUUUUCUAUUGUAUGAUGCUAUGGUAGUGAGUUACACUUAGUGAACCUUACCUUGCUCAUCAAUAAAACUAGCAUAUUGAUAUUUACCUCACAGGAGUGUUAUAAGGAGAAAUGAGCAAAACUAAAGAAACCAUCUGAUACAUAAUACUUCAAUAAAUAUAUAUUUGGUCUCCCCUUGGUUUUCCCUUCCUCAAAAGACUUAAACAUGAACCUCCUACAGAGACCAUUUAAAUUUGAAACAUUGGGAAAGGAAACAUACAUACUUAUAUGUUAUAGAACACCUUUGGUGACAUUUUUUUGUGGAUGAGAUACCUGAGAAUGGUGGAAGUUUGGGAUCAAAUAAUCACUUUGUUACUUUUUAUUUGAUGUGUUCUUCUCUUCCUUUUUAUCUUCCAUUGUGACACUGGAAUAGGAACCUUUGUUUGAACCCCAGAAAGGAGACAGUACAGAAUAAAAAAGCAUAAAGAUGAGUAUUCUGUACAACAGACUGAAAUCAGGAGACCUGGGGACUGAAUGCCAGAUUUGACCUUGUCUAGAAGAUACUUUCCCUGAGCUGAACACAGCACUUAUUGAGAAAAAGAUUGUAUAUCCCAAUGGUUAGGGAUGGUGACUUGAGAGUCAGAGCUUAGUUUGAACUUGGAAUCAUUUAAUAACUCAAUUCAUGCUGUCUGGCAAAUCUUGAAUGUCUCAAUAUAUUAGACUCACAUGCAAUGAAUGUACAUUAUGAUGCAUGCAUACAGAGAAUAAUGGGGUAAUAUACACAUGCAAU
Macaca mulatta (Rhesus monkey) is the source of this 12123-nucleotide non-coding RNA. The record is from RefSeq and is a predicted model, not a curated record. NCBI's taxonomy places the organism in Eukaryota, Metazoa, Chordata, Mammalia, Primates, Cercopithecidae.